This 460-nucleotide ribosomal RNA is filed under the name uncultured bacterium. RNAcentral's name for it is "partial 16S ribosomal RNA". It matches the Rfam family "Bacterial small subunit ribosomal RNA", at positions 338 to 795 of the family's 1533-position model. The record is from RNAcentral.
CCUACGGGAGGCAGCAGUGAGGAAUAUUGGUCAAUGGACGCAAGUCUGAACCAGCCAUGUCGCGUGCAGGAUGACGGCUCUAUGAGUUGUAAACUGCUUUUGUACGAGGGUAAUAUGAGACACGUGUAUCGGCUUGAAAGUAUCGGACGAAUAAGGAUCGGCUAACUCCGUGCCAGCAGCCGCGGUAAUACGGAGGAUCCAAGCGUUAUCCGGAUUUAUUGGGUUUAAAGGGUGCGUAGGCGGUUUUAUAAGUUCGAGGUGAAAAUUAGGGGCUCAACUCCGGACGUGCCUCGAAGACUGGAUGAUUAGAGAGUAGAUGCGGUAGGCGGAAUGUAUGGUGUAGCGGUGAAAUGCGUAGAGAUCAUACAGAACACCGAUUGCGAAGGCAGCUUACCAAACUAUAUCUGACGUUGAGGCACGAAAGCGUGGGGAGCAAACAGGAUUAGAUACCCCUGUAGUC